AGCUGCCUUGGAUCCUAAUUUUGCCUGGCGUGCUUCUCAUUUAUAACCAAACUUUCGGGAGAGAAUUUUCCCCGGGGGAAGUAGAGAGCUCUCUCCCUUUGAAGAACACUCCCUUAAGCAUCUUAUACUUUAUUUUCUUUUUAUUGGUACAAACUAAUGAUCAUAUUAUUUUAAUGUGAAUAUAGUCUAAAAAAUUAAAAUACAAAAUAUCACGCAAGACUUCUGGACAGUCGUCAUCUUGAUGCCAGAUCUAGUCUCUAGUAUGGUCGACGAUAAAGAAAACAAUCCAACCUGUGAUGCUAUUCGCC
RNAcentral lists this long non-coding RNA (308 nucleotides) under Elaeis guineensis (African oil palm). Its description in RNAcentral is "long non-coding RNA (EGUI_LNC030726)". Lineage: Eukaryota; Viridiplantae; Streptophyta; Magnoliopsida; Arecales; Arecaceae. The record is from RNAcentral.